Molecule: regulatory RNA element, 132 nt
Organism: Gracilibacillus boraciitolerans JCM 21714
Lineage: Bacteria; Bacillati; Bacillota; Bacilli; Caryophanales; Bacillaceae
Rfam family: Ribosomal protein L20 leader
About the family: This family is a putative r-protein leader autoregulatory structure found in B. subtilis and other low-GC Gram-positive bacteria. It is located in the 5' untranslated regions of mRNAs encoding initiation factor 3 followed by ribosomal proteins L35 and L20 (infC-rpmI-rplT).
Source: Rfam
UAAGACAAGUAGAAGCACCCGCUUCUCACCUGAUUGACACACAAAUGUAGUUAACAGGUACAAUAAGUCCGACUUAUUUGUAAUGAAUAUUGGAUGUGUGGGUGCAACGUGUACCGACACUUUUUUAAUGUG